AUGAUCAUACUUUAAUAGGACCACUACUAUAGUGCGAUUGCCGGGUUUUCUCGCCGAGAUUCUCGAAUAUAUUCAGCCACGAUGAGGACUGUUAGUGUAAUCCUCUGAGCGGGAAGCGGCUGUCAAGUGUUUGUGCUUGAGAGAUUUGAUGACCGUUCUGACUCGGUUUACCGAUGCUCAGAGGAGGAUAUCAAUCCACAAGUCUGGA
RNAcentral lists this small nucleolar RNA (208 nucleotides) under Penaeus monodon (black tiger shrimp). RNAcentral's name for it is "small nucleolar RNA U3". It matches the Rfam family "Small nucleolar RNA U3". Rfam says of the family: Small nucleolar RNAs (snoRNAs) are involved in the processing and modification of rRNA in the nucleolus. There are two main classes of snoRNAs: the box C/D class, and the box H/ACA class. The record is from RNAcentral. Lineage: Eukaryota; Metazoa; Arthropoda; Malacostraca; Decapoda; Penaeidae.